Molecule: non-coding RNA, 79 nt
Filed under: Roseivivax lentus
Lineage: Bacteria; Pseudomonadati; Pseudomonadota; Alphaproteobacteria; Rhodobacterales; Roseobacteraceae
Source: RNAcentral
GCAGCGCAUCGUGGCGAUUUGUUCACCGGAUUGCGGGCCACGUUAAACAAUCCGCUAAAGAGGUCAGCCGAGAGUGCCC